RNAcentral lists this ribosomal RNA (253 nucleotides) under uncultured bacterium. RNAcentral's name for it is "partial 16S ribosomal RNA". It matches the Rfam family "Bacterial small subunit ribosomal RNA", at positions 524 to 776 of the family's 1533-position model. The record is from RNAcentral.
UACGGGGGGAGCAAGCGUUGUUCGGAUUUACUGGGCGUAAAGGGCGCGUAGGCGGCGCAACAAGUCACUUGUGAAAUCUCCGGGCUUAACCCGGAGCGGCCAAGUGAUACUGUCGUGCUAGAGUGCGGAAGGGGCAAUCGGAAUUCUUGGUGUAGCGGUGAAAUGCGUAGAUAUCAAGAGGAACACCUGAGGUGAAGACGGGUUGCUGGGCUGACACUGACGCUGAGGCGCGAAAGCCAGGGGAGCAAACGGG